ACUCCUACGGGAGGCAGCAGUGGGGAAUAUUGCACAAUGGGCGCAAGCCUGAUGCAGCCAUGCCGCGUGUAUGAAGAAGGCCUUCGGGUUGUAAAGUACUUUCAGCGGGGAGGAAGGCGAUAAGGUUAAUAACCUUGUUGAUUGACGUUACCCGCAGAAGAAGCACCGGCUAACUCCGUGCCAGCAGCCGCGGUAAUACGGAGGGUGCAAGCGUUAAUCGGAAUUACUGGGCGUAAAGCGCACGCAGGCGGUCUGUCAAGUCGGAUGUGAAAUCCCCGGGCUCAACCUGGGAACUGCAUUCGAAACUGGCAGGCUAGAGUCUUGUAGAGGGGGGUAGAAUUCCAGGUGUAGCGGUGAAAUGCGUAGAGAUCUGGAGGAAUACCGGUGGCGAAGGCGGCCCCCUGGACAAAGACUGACGCUCAGGUGCGAAAGCGUGGGGAGCAAACAGGAUUAGAUACCCUAGUAGUCCCA
Molecule: ribosomal RNA, 471 nt
Filed under: uncultured organism
Description: partial 16S ribosomal RNA
Rfam family: Bacterial small subunit ribosomal RNA
Source: RNAcentral